CGUAACACGUAUGUAACCUACCCUUAUCAGGGGGAUAGCCUCUCGAAAGAGAGAUUAAGCCCGCAUAACAUUACAUCAUAGCAUUAUGGAGUAAUCAAAUAUUUAUAGGAUAAGGAUGGGCAUGCGGAACAUUAGCUAGUUGGUAAGGUAACGGCUUACCAAGGCUACGAUGUUUAGGGGAUCUGAGAGGAUGACCCCCCACACUGGUACUGAGACACGGACCAG
This 225-nucleotide ribosomal RNA is filed under the name uncultured bacterium. RNAcentral describes it as "partial 16S ribosomal RNA". It matches the Rfam family "Bacterial small subunit ribosomal RNA", at positions 109 to 334 of the family's 1533-position model. The record is from RNAcentral.